RNAcentral lists this ribosomal RNA (460 nucleotides) under uncultured bacterium. RNAcentral describes it as "partial 16S ribosomal RNA". It matches the Rfam family "Bacterial small subunit ribosomal RNA", at positions 338 to 795 of the family's 1533-position model. The record is from RNAcentral.
CCUACGGGUGGCAGCAGUGAGGAAUAUUGGUCAAUGGACGCAAGUCUGAACCAGCCAUGCCGCGUGCAGGAAGACGGCUCUAUGAGUUGUAAACUGCUUUUGUACGAGGGUAAACGCAGAUACGCGUAUCUGUCUGAAAGUAUCGUACGAAUAAGGAUCGGCUAACUCCGUGCCAGCAGCCGCGGUAAUACGGAGGAUUCAAGCGUUAUCCGGAUUUAUUGGGUUUAAAGGGUGCGUAGGCGGUCGGGUAAGUUAGAGGUGAAAUCCCGAGGCUCAACUUCGGCAUUGCCGCUGAUACUGGUCGGCGAGAGAGUAGUUGCGGUAGGCGGAAUGUGUGGUGUAGCGGUGAAAUGCUUAGAGAUCACACAGAACACCGAUUGCGAAGGCAGCUUACCAAGCUACUUCUGACGUUGAGGCACGAAAGCGUGGGGAGCAAACAGGAUUAGAUACCCGAGUAGUC